CAGUAGCCACGGGAAUACGAAGGGGGCUAGCGUUGCUCGGAAUGACUGGGCGUAAAGGGCGCGUAGGCGGUUUGUACAGUUGGAUGUGAAAUUCCUGGGCUUAACCUGGGGGCUGCAUUCAAUACGUGCAGGCUUGAGUGUGGAAGAGGGUCGUGGAAUUCCCAGUGUAGAGGUGAAAUUCGUAGAUAUUGGGAAGAACACCGGUGGCGAAGGCGGCGACCUGGUCCAUUACUGACGCUGAGGCGCGAAAGCGUGGGGAGCAAACAGGAUUAGAUACCCCCGUAGUCCCUGUCUCUUAUAC
This 301-nucleotide ribosomal RNA is filed under the name uncultured bacterium. Its description in RNAcentral is "partial 16S ribosomal RNA". It matches the Rfam family "Bacterial small subunit ribosomal RNA", at positions 509 to 807 of the family's 1533-position model. The record is from RNAcentral.